GGAUGGACCUAUGGCGCAUUAGCUAGUUGGCGGGGCAACGGCCCACCAAGGCAACGAUGCGUAGCCGGCCUGAGAGGGCGGACGGCCACAUUGGGACUGAGACACGGCCCAGACUCCUACGGGAGGCAGCAGUAGGGAAUUUUCGGCAAUGGGGGAAACCCUGACCGAGCAACGCCGCGUGAGCGAAGAAGGCCUUCGGGUCGUAAAGCUCUGUUGUAAAGGAAGAACGUCGCAUGCAGGAAAUGGUGUGCGAGUGACGGUACUUUACCAGAAAGCCACGGCUAACUACGUGCCAGCAGCCGCGGUAAUACGUAGGUGGCGAGCGUUAUCCGGAAUCAUUGGGCGUAAAGAGGGAGCAGGCGGCCGCAAGGGUCUGUGGUGAAAGACCGAAGCUAAACUUCGGUAAGCCAUGGAAACCGGGCGGCUAGAGUGCGGAAGAGGAUCGUGGAAUUCCAUGUGUAGCGGUGAAAUGCGUAGAUAUAUGGAGGAACACCAGUGGCGAAGGCGACGGUCUGGGCCGCAACUGACGCUCAUUCCCGAAAGCGUGGGGAGCAAAUAGGAUUAGAUACCCUAGUAGUCCACGCCGUAAACGAUG
RNAcentral lists this ribosomal RNA (595 nucleotides) under uncultured bacterium. RNAcentral's name for it is "bacterial SSU rRNA". It matches the Rfam family "Bacterial small subunit ribosomal RNA", at positions 223 to 811 of the family's 1533-position model. The record is from RNAcentral.